AAGUCGUAACAAGGUUUCCGUAGGUGAACCUGCGGAAGGAUCAUUAAAAAGGGGUAUUAAUAACGUUGGCGCGGGUGGGUGCGAGAUUGGUGCGAGUUGAAAAGGAGAUGCGCGUGGCUGGAUGGGCGAGGUGUGUUGGCAGACGCGCAAAACACAAUGUCACGAGUUGAGAAAAAAUUCGUAUACCACUUUUGACAAUGGAUCUCUAGGCUCUU
Molecule: unclassified non-coding RNA, 215 nt
Filed under: fungal sp.
Lineage: Eukaryota; Fungi
Description: partial internal transcribed spacer region
Rfam family: Eukaryotic small subunit ribosomal RNA (bases 1-46)
Source: RNAcentral